CCUACGGGGUGCAGCAGUAGGGAAUCUUUCACAAUGGGCGAAAGCCUGAUGGAGCAACGCCGCGUGCAGGAUGAAGGCCUUCGGGUUGUAAACUGCUUUUAACAGGGACGAAAGAAAUGACGGUACCUGAAUAAGAAGCCCCGGCUAACUACGUGCCAGCAGCCGCGGUAAUACGUAGGGGGCAAGCGUUAUCCGGAAUUACUGGGUGUAAAGGGUGAGUAGGCGGCAUGGUAAGCCAGAUGUGAAAGCCUUGGGCUUAACCCGAGGCUUGCAUUUGGAACUAUCAAGCUAGAGUACAGGAGAGGAAAGCGGAAUUCCUAGUGUAGCGGUUAAAUGCGUAGAUAUUAGGAAGAACACCAGUGGCGAAGGCGGCUUUCUGGACUGAAACUGACGCUGAGGCACGAAAGCGUGGGGAGCGAACAGGAUUAGAUACCCGAGUAGUC
This 443-nucleotide ribosomal RNA is filed under the name uncultured bacterium. Its description in RNAcentral is "partial 16S ribosomal RNA". It matches the Rfam family "Bacterial small subunit ribosomal RNA", at positions 338 to 795 of the family's 1533-position model. The record is from RNAcentral.